This 992-nucleotide ribosomal RNA is filed under the name uncultured bacterium. RNAcentral's name for it is "bacterial SSU rRNA". It matches the Rfam family "Bacterial small subunit ribosomal RNA", at positions 9 to 1037 of the family's 1533-position model. The record is from RNAcentral.
GAGUUUGAUCAUGGCUCAGGANGANCGCUGGCGGCAUGCUUUACACAUGCAAGUUGAACGAAUUAAAGUUUUCGAAUUUUAGUUAAGUAGCGAACGGGUGAGUAAAACGUAAGAAUCUAUUUUUAGGUGAGGAAUAACUAAUGGAAACGUUAGCUAAUACCUUAUAAACUGAGAAGUGAAAAACUAAAAAUUGCCUAAAAGUGAGCUUGCGCCUGAUUAGCUUGUUGGUAAGAUAAUCGCUUACCAAAGCGACGAUCAGUAGUUGAUCUAAGAGGAUAAUCAACCACACUGGGACUGAGAUACGGCCCAGACCUCUACGGAGGGCAGCAGUGAGGAAUUUUCCGCAAUGGGCGAAAGCCUGACGGAGCAAUGCCGCGUGAAGGAUGAAGGCCUAUGGGUCGUAAACUUCUUUUCUUAAUGAAGAAAUAAGACGGUAAUUAAGGAAUAAGCAUCGGCUAACUCCGUGCCAGCAGCCGCGGUAAUACGGAGGAUGCAAGCGUUAUCCGGAAUUAUUGGGCGUAAAGGGUUUGUAGGCUACUUUUUAAGUCUACUGUUAAAGAAUAAGACUUAACCUUAGAAAAGCAGUAUGAAACUAAAAGGAUAGAGUUCAGUAGGGGUAGAGGGAAUUCUCGGUGUAGUAGUGAAAUACGUAGAUAUCGAGAGGAACACCAAUAGCGAAAGCACUCUACUAGGCCGUAACUGACGCUAGAAACGAAAGCUAGGGGAGCCAAUGGGAUUAGAUACCCCAGUAGUCCUAGCUGUAAACGAUGGAUACUAAGUAUUGGAUAAUAAAAAAUUCAGUGCUGUAGCUAACGCGUUAAGUAUCCCGCCUGGGGGAGUAUGCCCGCAAGGGUGAAACUCAAAGGAAUUGACGGGGGCCCGCACAAGCGGUGGAGCAUGGGGGUUUAAUUUCGAUGCCACGCGAAAAACCUUACCAGGAUUCGACAUCCCAUAUUUUUUUUCUAGAAAUAGAAAAACUGACNUGGANACAG